Molecule: ribosomal RNA, 549 nt
Filed under: uncultured Flavobacterium sp.
Lineage: Bacteria; Pseudomonadati; Bacteroidota; Flavobacteriia; Flavobacteriales; Flavobacteriaceae
Description: bacterial SSU rRNA
Rfam family: Bacterial small subunit ribosomal RNA
Source: RNAcentral
GUGCCAGCCGCCGCGGUAAUACGGAGGAUCCAAGCGUUAUCCGGAAUCAUUGGGUUUAAAGGGUCCGUAGGCGGUCAGGUAAGUCAGUGGUGAAAGCCCAUCGCUCAACGGUGGAACGGCCAUUGAUACUGUCUGACUUGAAUUAUUAGGAAGUAACUAGAAUAUGUAGUGUAGCGGUGAAAUGCUUAGAGAUUACAUGGAAUACCAAUUGCGAAGGCAGGUUACUACUAAUGGAUUGACGCUGAUGGACGAAAGCGUGGGUAGCGAACAGGAUUAGAUACCCUGGUAGUCCACGCCGUAAACGAUGGAUACUAGCUGUUGGGAGCAAUCUCAGUGGCUAAGCGAAAGUGAUAAGUAUCCCACCUGGGGAGUACGUUCGCAAGAAUGAAACUCAAAGGAAUUGACGGGGGCCCGCACAANCGGUGGAGCAUGNGGUUUAAUUCNAUGAUACGCGAGGAACCUUACCAAGGCUUAAAUGUAGAUUGACCGGUUUGGAAACAGACUUUUNNCANNANAAUUUACAAGGUGCUGNNUGGUUGUCGUCAGCUC